UCCUGUAGGUACAACUGUGGCUACAACGUGGGCAGCUGCUCCUGCACAAGUUCCUGUCAACGCUAUGGAAACUGCUGUCAUGACUACAACGAUUACUGCUACAGUACAACAACAGCAGAACCAGCCACAACAACGAACAUAACGGAUAUACCGGAUAUACGACUAGUUGGGGGCAACAGCUCCUGUUCUGGGAGAGUGGAGGUACAGGUCCAUGGCACCUGGGGCACUGUGUGCGAUGAUAGAUGGAACAUACCUGAUGCUGAAGUGGUUUGCAGACAGGUGGGCUGUGGACCAGCCCUGAGCGCUCUUUCCAGUGCUCAUUUUGGACAGGGCAGUGGACCGAUCUGGCUGGAUGAUGUCAGCUGCACUGGCAAUGAGUCGUCUCUCUCUCAGUGCUCACAUAGAGGCCAUGGCAACCAUAACUGUGGCCACCAUGAAGAUGCUGGGGUAGUCUGUCAAGCCGACCAUACCUCCUGUAGGUACAACUGUGGCUACAACUUUGGCAGCUGCUCCUGCACAAGUUCCUGUCAGCGCUAUGGAAACUGCUGUCGUGACUACAACGAUUACUGCUACAGUACAACAACAGCAGAACCAGCCACAACAAGUAAUACAUAGUCCUUUCAGAGUGAUCCCAUAACAUAUCACAUCAGUACAAUGGCUAUAUAUCUGCAGUUCCACAUGUUGCCAUUCUUCCUUAC
This is a long non-coding RNA of Clupea harengus (Atlantic herring), 698 nucleotides long. RefSeq lists it as uncharacterized. Lineage: Eukaryota; Metazoa; Chordata; Actinopteri; Clupeiformes; Clupeidae. The transcript has 5 exons. The record is from RefSeq and is a predicted model, not a curated record.